RNAcentral lists this ribosomal RNA (450 nucleotides) under uncultured bacterium. Its description in RNAcentral is "bacterial SSU rRNA". It matches the Rfam family "Bacterial small subunit ribosomal RNA", at positions 354 to 796 of the family's 1533-position model. The record is from RNAcentral.
GUGGGGAAUUUUGGACAAUGGGCGAAAGCCUGAUCCAGCAAUGCCGCGUGUGUGAAGAAGGCCUUCGGGUUGUAAAGCACUUUUGUCCGGAAAGAAAUCUGUCUGGCUAAUACCUAGAUGGGAUGACGGUACCGGAAGAAUAAGCACCGGCUAACUACGUGCCAGCAGCCGCGGUAAUACGUAGGGUGCGAGCGUUAAUCGGAAUUACUGGGCGUAAAGCGUGCGCAGGCGGUUUUGUAAGACCGAUGUGAAAUCCCCGGGCUUAACCUGGGAACUGCAUUGGUGACUGCAAGGCUAGAGUGCGUCAGAGGGGGGUGGAAUUCCGCGUGUAGCAGUGAAAUGCGUAGAGAUGCGGAGGAACACCGAUGGCGAAGGCAGCCCCCUGGGAUGACACUGACGCUCAUGCACGAAAGCGUGGGGAGCAAACAGGAUUAGAAACCCCGGUAGUCC